AAUGAUAUACUACAGUGUGGCCAUUUAUAACACUGUUUGUCGAAUGGUACUUGUCCUUCAUUGUGACAAUUCCCAUUUCAGUUCAAGAAUAACAUAUGCAACAUAACGUUAACGUUGUCAUGACGUUCUAACGUUCCUGAAUGAUUUGAACAUGUUGUCACUGUUUAAAUGUACUCAGUGAAUUUGAGAUUGAUUUAAACGGGGACUUGUAUGACAAUCAUUGUUCAUAUAUCAUUUGUAU
Molecule: unclassified non-coding RNA, 241 nt
Filed under: Spiculopteragia houdemeri
Lineage: Eukaryota; Metazoa; Nematoda; Chromadorea; Rhabditida; Trichostrongylidae
Description: ITS2
Source: RNAcentral